UACAGAGGGUGCGAGCGUUAAUCGGAAUUACUGGGCGUAAAGCGUGCGCAGGCGGUUUUGUAAGCCAGAUGUGAAAGCCCCGGGCUUAACCUGGGAAUGGCAUUUGGGACUGCAAGGCUAGAGUGCGGCAGAGGAGACUGGAAUUCCUGGUGUAGCAGUGAAAUGCGUAGAUAUCAGGAGGAAUACCGAUGGCGAAGGCAGGUCUCUGGGCUGACACUGACGCUCAUGCACGAAAGCGUGGGGAGCAAAACGG
Molecule: ribosomal RNA, 253 nt
Filed under: uncultured bacterium
Lineage: Bacteria
Description: partial 16S ribosomal RNA
Rfam family: Bacterial small subunit ribosomal RNA
Source: RNAcentral